This 492-nucleotide ribosomal RNA is filed under the name uncultured bacterium. Its description in RNAcentral is "partial 16S ribosomal RNA". It matches the Rfam family "Bacterial small subunit ribosomal RNA", at positions 29 to 507 of the family's 1533-position model. The record is from RNAcentral.
AGUGAACGCUGGCGGUAGGCCUAACACAUGCAAGUCGAACGGCAGCACAGUAAGAGCUUGCUCUUACGGGUGGCGAGUGGCGGACGGGUGAGGAAUACAUCGGACUCUACUUUUUCGUGGGGGAUAACGUAGGGAAACUUACGCUAAUACCGCAUACGACCUACGGGUGAAAGCAGGGGAUCUUCGGACCUUGCGCGAUUGAAUGAGCCGAUGUCGGAUUAGCUAGUUGGCGGGGUAAAGGCCCACCAAGGCGACGAUCCGUAGCUGGUCUGAGAGGAUGAUCAGCCACACUGGAACUGAGACACGGUCCAGACUCCUACGGGAGGCAGCAGUGGGGAAUAUUGGACAAUGGGCGCAAGCCUGAUCCAGCCAUGCCGCGUGGGUGAAGAAGGCCUUCGGGUUGUAAAGCCCUUUUGUUGGGAAAGAAAAGCAGCAGGUUAAUACCCCGCUGUUCUGACGGUACCCAAAGAAUAAGCACCGGCUAACUUCGUG